GACGGAGGGGGCAAGCGUUGUCCGGAAUUACUGGGCGUAAAGCGCUCGUAGGCGGUCAUGUACGGCGAUGGUGAAAGCUCCCGGCUCAACUGGGAGAGGCCCGUCGCAACGGCGUGACUCGAGGGUGGUAGAGGCAGAUGGAAUACCUGGUGUAGCGGUGAAAUGCGUAGAGAUCAGGAGGAACACCCAUGGCGAAGGCAGUCUGCUGGGCCAUACCUGACGCUGAGGAGCGAAAGCUAGGGGAGCGAACGGGAUUAGAUACCCCGGUAGUCCUAGCCGUAAACGAUGGAUACUAGGUGUCAGCGGUAUCGACCCCGCUGGUGCCGGAGCUAACGCGUGAAGUAUCCCGCCUGGGGAGUACGGCCGCAAGGUUGAA
RNAcentral lists this ribosomal RNA (376 nucleotides) under uncultured bacterium. RNAcentral's name for it is "bacterial SSU rRNA". It matches the Rfam family "Bacterial small subunit ribosomal RNA", at positions 524 to 898 of the family's 1533-position model. The record is from RNAcentral.